RNAcentral lists this ribosomal RNA (119 nucleotides) under Pteropus alecto (black flying fox). The record is from RNAcentral. Lineage: Eukaryota; Metazoa; Chordata; Mammalia; Chiroptera; Pteropodidae.
GUCUACGGCCAUGCCACCCUGAACAAGCCCGAUCUCGUCUGAUCUUGGAAGCUAAGCAGGAUUGGGCCUGAUUAGUACUUGGGUGGCAGACCACCUAGGAAGACCAGGUGCUGUAGGCA